CAGUAGCCGCGGGAAUACGUAGGGCGCAAGCGUUAUCCGGAAUUAUUGGGCGUAAAGAGCUCGUAGGCGGUUUGUCGCGUCUGCCGUGAAAGUCCGGGGCUCAACCCCGGAUCUGCGGUGGGUACGGGCAGACUAGAGUGAUGUAGGGGAGACUGGAAUUACUGGUGUAGCGGUGAAAUGCGCAGAUAUCAGGAGGAACACCGAUGGCGAAGGCAGGUCUCUGGGCAUUAACUGACGCUGAGGAGCGAAAGCAUGGGGAGCGAACAGGAUUAGAUACCCCCAGUAGUCCCUGUCUCUUAUA
This 301-nucleotide ribosomal RNA is filed under the name uncultured bacterium. RNAcentral describes it as "partial 16S ribosomal RNA". It matches the Rfam family "Bacterial small subunit ribosomal RNA", at positions 509 to 808 of the family's 1533-position model. The record is from RNAcentral.